AGUGAACGCUGGCGGUAGGCCUAACACAUGCAAGUCGAACGGCAGCACAGUAAGAGCUUGCUCUUACGGGUGGCGAGUGGCGGACGGGUGAGGAAUACAUCGGAAUCUACUUUUUCGUGGGGGAUAACGUAGGGAAACUUACGCUAAUACCGCAUACGACCUACGGGUGAAAGCAUGGGAUCUUCGGACCUUGCGCGAUUGAAUGCGCCGAUGUCGGAUUAGCUAGUUGGAGGGGUAAAGGCACACCAAGGCGACGAUCCGUAGCUGGUCUGAGAGGAUGAUCAGCCACACUGGAACUGAGACACGGUCCAGACUCCUACGGGAGGCAGCAGUGGGGAAUAUUGGACAAUGGGCGCAAGCCUGAUCCAGCCAUGCCGCGUGGGUGAAGAAGGCCUUCGGAUUGUAAAGCCCUUUUGUUGGGAAAGAAAAGCAGCAGGUUAAUACCCCGCUGUUCUGACGGUACCCAAAGAAUAAGCACCGGCUAACUUCGUG
This 492-nucleotide ribosomal RNA is filed under the name uncultured bacterium. RNAcentral describes it as "partial 16S ribosomal RNA". It matches the Rfam family "Bacterial small subunit ribosomal RNA", at positions 29 to 507 of the family's 1533-position model. The record is from RNAcentral.